AUGAGCAGAGUAAAGACUCUGAGAAAUAGAGUACAGACAGAAAGUGUCACAACUAAUUGGAAUAGCAGAGAAAAGUGUCCGGAGCUCACCAGGAGAAACAGUAUGAGUGGACAGAGACCCUGUCUGGCUCAUGAUGCAGAUGCGGACAGACCUGUGAAGUGUCAUUCUGAUUUGUCAGAGAGGAUCAAAUAUGAGCACAAAACCUCCUGGACCCGUCCUCCUGACAGCAUCUCUAUCAGCAAAACCGAAAUACCUUCAUGAUCAUGUUACCAACAAUCACUCUCAUAGAGCUAAAUCACCAUUGCUUUUCAUUUUCUCAUAAAUCCUAAAUCAAUAAAAACUCCCAACUGAGGCGAGACUGAACA
Long non-coding RNA from Cyprinus carpio (common carp), 365 nucleotides. The record is from Ensembl. NCBI's taxonomy places the organism in Eukaryota, Metazoa, Chordata, Actinopteri, Cypriniformes, Cyprinidae.